UACGUAGGGGGCGAGCGUUGUCCGGAUUUAUUGGGCGUAAAGAGCUCGUAGGCGGUUCGAUAAGUCGGACGUGAAAUCUCCACGCUCAACGUGGAGGGGCCGUUCGAUACUGUCGUGACUCGAGUCCGGUAGGGGAGUGUGGAAUUCCCGGUGUAGCGGUGAAAUGCGCAGAUAUCAGGAGGAACACCUAUUGCGAAGGCAGCUCGCUGGUACGUAACUGACGCUGAGACGCGAAAGCGUGGGGAGCAAACAGG
RNAcentral lists this ribosomal RNA (254 nucleotides) under uncultured bacterium. Its description in RNAcentral is "partial 16S ribosomal RNA". It matches the Rfam family "Bacterial small subunit ribosomal RNA", at positions 524 to 776 of the family's 1533-position model. The record is from RNAcentral.